UAAUACGUAGGUGGCAAGCGUUGUCCGGAUUUACUGGGCGUAAAGAGCGCGCAGGCGGUCAAUCAAGUCGAGUGUGAAAGCCCCCGGCUCAACUGGGGAGGGUCACUCGAUACUGCUUGACUCGAAGGCGGGAGAGGGAAGUGGAAUUCCCGGUGUAGUGGUGAAAUGCGUAGAUAUCGGGAGGAACACCAGUGGCGAAGGC
RNAcentral lists this ribosomal RNA (202 nucleotides) under uncultured bacterium. RNAcentral describes it as "partial 16S ribosomal RNA". It matches the Rfam family "Bacterial small subunit ribosomal RNA", at positions 521 to 722 of the family's 1533-position model. The record is from RNAcentral.